RNAcentral lists this long non-coding RNA (406 nucleotides) under Medicago truncatula (barrel medic). RNAcentral's name for it is "long non-coding RNA (MTRU_LNC003936)". Lineage: Eukaryota; Viridiplantae; Streptophyta; Magnoliopsida; Fabales; Fabaceae. The record is from RNAcentral.
CGCCUCGUUUCAAUUCAAUGACCAUGGGAGCAAGCGGUGGCCAAGUGUCGGAAAAAACGGUCUAAUUUUCAUAUCCUUGUUAUCCAUUGGUCUUACUCCUUUUUACUCUCAUUUUCACUUCAUUGUUCCUUGCUUAAAUUUCACAAUUCUUCCUUAAUUGUUGUCUGUAUUGUAAAAAAAAAAAAAAUGCAUAAAUGGAAAAUUCAAUUACACAUAAUUAUGAAGAGGAAGGAAAAAUUGAGAACACAAAGAUAACAAAAGACAUAAAGCAAUGAUUUACCGUAUGCAGAAGUCCACUUGUGGCUUCUCUGAUGAGUUGAUGAUCGUAACUCCUCUCUUUCGCCCUAUUUCUCUCAGUCAUAAAAGACAUACGGUUUACAAAAGAAGGAUUUGAGGGGAGUUUUCA